GGCUCAGUAGUUUAGUUUAUAAAGCACUCAUCUAGUAAACAAGAGUAGUGUGUUCGAAUCCCACCUGAGUAC
RNAcentral lists this transfer RNA (72 nucleotides) under Aedes aegypti (yellow fever mosquito). RNAcentral describes it as "partial tRNA-OTHER". Lineage: Eukaryota; Metazoa; Arthropoda; Insecta; Diptera; Culicidae. The record is from RNAcentral.